AGAGUUUGAUCAUGGCUCAGGACGAACGCUGGCGGCGUGCUUAACACAUGCAAGUCGAACGGUGAAGCCCUUCGGGGUGGAUCAGUGGCGAACGGGUGAGUAACACGUGGGCAAUCUGCCCUGCACUCUGGGACAAGCCCUGGAAACGGGGUCUAAUACCGGAUACGGCCUUCCUCUGCAUGGGGGUUGGUGGAAAGCUCCGGCGGUGCAGGAUGAGCCCGCGGCCUAUCAGCUUGUUGGUGGGGUAAUGGCCUACCAAGGCGACGACGGGUAGCCGGCCUGAGAGGGCGACCGGCCACACUGGGACUGAGACACGGCCCAGACUCCUACGGGAGGCAGCAGUGGGGAAUAUUGCACAAUGGGCGAAAGCCUGAUGCAGCGACGCCGCGUGAGGGAUGACGGCCUUCGGGUUGUAAACCUCUUUCAGCAGGGAAGAAGCGAAAGUGACGGUACCUGCAGAAGAAGCACCGGCUAACUACGUGCCAGCAGCCGCGGUA
Molecule: ribosomal RNA, 497 nt
Filed under: uncultured Actinomycetes bacterium
Lineage: Bacteria; Bacillati; Actinomycetota; Actinomycetes
Description: bacterial SSU rRNA
Rfam family: Bacterial small subunit ribosomal RNA
Source: RNAcentral